This 288-nucleotide long non-coding RNA is filed under the name Malus domestica (apple). RNAcentral's name for it is "long non-coding RNA (MDOM_LNC001979)". Lineage: Eukaryota; Viridiplantae; Streptophyta; Magnoliopsida; Rosales; Rosaceae. The record is from RNAcentral.
CGCAACAAGGAAUCUCUAAUCCUCGAUAAGAGAGGAAGAAUACUCUAAGAUAUGAUUCGGGAAUCUUCGGCUGAAGUAUCGAGCGUAAUAAAGGAAAGCGUUCCUAUACGACUCAAUUGAAUCAUAUAAGAAGGAAUAAUCACAUUAGGGGUUUGACAUAAUAUAUCCAUGCCCUAAUGAUGUGAUUGAGAGUAUUGUUUUAGAGAAGGAUCGAAUUAGAUUGUAAUUCCAACUGAAUAGGUUCUUCGAAUAAACUUCUACAUUAGCUUGGGUAGCUAUGACAUAUGG